UAACUGCGAGUGAAGCGGGAAGAGCUCAAAUUUAAAAUCUGGCGGUCUUGCCGUCCGAGUUGUAAUCUGGAGAAGCGUUUUCCGUGCUGGACCGUGUACAAGUCUCUUGGAAUAGAGCGUCAUAGAGGGUGAGAAUCCCGUCUCUGACACGGACUACCAGUGCUUUGUGAUACGCUCUCAAAGAGUCGAGUUGUUUGGGAAUGCAGCUCAAAAUGGGUGGUAAAUUCCAUCUAAAGCUAAAUAUUGGCGAGAGACCGAUAGCGAACAAGUACCGUGAGGGAAAGAUGAAAAGCACUUUGGAAAGAGAGUUAAACAGUACGUGAAAUUGUUGAAAGGGAAACGCUUGAAGUCAGUCGCGUCUUCUGGGACUCAGCGUGGCUUCUGCCUCGUGUACUUCCCAGUCGACGGGUCAACAUCGAUUUUGGUCGGCGGAUAAGGACCAGAGGAAUGUGGCACCUCCGGGUGUGUUAUAGCCUCUUGUCGGAUGCGCCGGCUGGGAUCGAGGACCGCAGCACGCCUUUUUGGCCGGGGUUUACCCACGUAACGUGCUUAGGAUGUUGGCAUAAUGGCUUUAAGCGACCCGUCUUGAAACACGGACCAAGGAGUCUAACACGCCUGCGAGUGUUAGGGUGGAAAACCCUUGCGCGUAAUGAAAGUGAAAGUUGGGACCUCUGUCAUGGAGGGCACCGACGCCCGGCCCUGAACUUCUGUGACGGCGCUGCGGUAGAGCAUGUGUGUUGGGACCCGAAAGAUGGUGAACUAUGCCUGAAUAGGGCGAAGCCAGAGGAAACUCUGGUGGAGGCUCGUAGCGAUUCUGACGUGCAAAUCGAUCGUCAAAUUUGGG
This 844-nucleotide ribosomal RNA is filed under the name Leifia sp. RNAcentral describes it as "partial large subunit ribosomal RNA". It matches the Rfam family "Eukaryotic large subunit ribosomal RNA", at positions 84 to 915 of the family's 3401-position model. Lineage: Eukaryota; Fungi; Basidiomycota; Agaricomycetes; Hymenochaetales. The record is from RNAcentral.